RNAcentral lists this ribosomal RNA (445 nucleotides) under uncultured Mesoplasma sp. RNAcentral's name for it is "bacterial SSU rRNA". It matches the Rfam family "Bacterial small subunit ribosomal RNA", at positions 9 to 455 of the family's 1533-position model. The record is from RNAcentral. Lineage: Bacteria; Bacillati; Mycoplasmatota; Mollicutes; Entomoplasmatales; Entomoplasmataceae.
GAGUUUGAUCGUGGCUCAGGAUAAACGCUGGCGGCAUGCCUAAUACAUGCAAGUCGAACGGGAGUGCUUGCACUCCAGUGGCGAACGGGUGAGUAACACGUAUCUAAUCUACCUUUUAGUGGGGGGAUAACCUUUGGAAACGAAGGAUAAUACCGCAUAAGAUCUUCAUUAUGACAUCAGAAGAAGAGGAAAGAUCCGUUUGGAUCGCUAAAAGAUGAGGAUGCGGCGUAUUAGUUAGUAGGCGGGGUAAAGGCCCACCUAGACGAUGAUACGUAGCCGAACUGAGAGGUUGAUCGGCCACAUUGGGACUGAGAUACGGCCCAGACUCCUACGGGAGGCAGCAGUAGGGAAUUUUUCACAAUGGACGAAAGUCUGAUGAAGCAAUGCCGCGUGAGUGAUGAAGGUCUUCGGAUUGUAAAGCUCUGUUGUAAGGGAAGAAUAAGCC